AUGUAUCCAGCUGAGGUUGCAGGUGUUCUUCUCCCCGCGGCGUACUUGCCGCCACCUCCAAACGCAGCCUCUUUCGGACCCCAUUAUCCCUACCAGAUAGCGGAAGACGAUCAUCUCCUGUUCCAGUGCGGCGGCAGCAGUCUAAUGCAGUUGCCCUACGCCGACGAGCUGUUUCUCAACCACCCUCCGGCGGGGCUGCCCAACAGGUCGAGCUCCGACGAGCCAGCGUCCCACGCCGUAGACCGGCAGCGCGCCGAGGAGAGGAGGAAGAGGCGGAUGGUGUCCAACCGGGAGUCGGCGCGGCGGUCGCGCGUGCGGAAGCAGAAGCAGCUGGGCCAGCUGUGGGCGCAGGUCGUCCACCUCCGGGACGCCAACCGUGACCUGCUCGACCAGCUCAACCGCGCCAUCGUGGACUGCGACCGCGUCGUGCGCGACAACUCCCGGCUGAGGGACGAGCGGGAGGAGCUGCAGCGGAGGCUCCGGGAGCUCCCUGUGGUCGAUGCCGGCGACGCGGAGGGCGUCGCCGUUGGUGAAGAUGACCAGUCUACAGUCUAG
RNAcentral lists this ribosomal RNA (555 nucleotides) under Triticum aestivum (bread wheat). RNAcentral describes it as "partial small subunit ribosomal RNA". The record is from RNAcentral. Lineage: Eukaryota; Viridiplantae; Streptophyta; Magnoliopsida; Poales; Poaceae.